RNAcentral lists this long non-coding RNA (1273 nucleotides) under Anas platyrhynchos platyrhynchos (common mallard). Its description in RNAcentral is "lncRNA (ENSAPLG00000029391.1)". Lineage: Eukaryota; Metazoa; Chordata; Aves; Anseriformes; Anatidae. The record is from RNAcentral.
UGGCUCCCUCCAAUGAACACACUACUUUUCACUGAUAAGGAAUUCAUAUUGUUAAACUCUACAUGAACUCAAAAAAUAUUAAUGUGUAAAUGCUUACCAGCAAAUACGAACAGCAAAUGUCAGAGAAAAUUUAAUAAUUGAGCAUAAUAAAAUAAGCUUGUUUUUGGAAUCUUGCUUUAUAUGUUUCUGAAAGAACAAUCACUCUUACAAAAUCUAAGUCAGGAAUGAAAUGUAGUGUAUGGCUAAUUGAGAAAGGAUCGAUGGAUUUAGCAAAGCCAUAGUAGUUCUUCUGAAGAAACAGUAGUUUAAAGUAGUGUUGAUUUAACAGUGUGCUUGGUUUAUCUGCCUGUCUGCCUUGUGAGGGACAGAACAUUUAAUACAAUGCUGUGGUAAAGAUUUGACCUUGAUGAGAGGUAUGGUUGGUCAACUGAUCUCUUGUGUAAGGCUCCGAGUGAGGAAAGAUGUUUAUCAGAAAUGAAUGCUGACAAAACCUUUGUGUCACUGUAGCCUACCAUGACAUACUUCAUCUACACAAAUGACUUCACAUUUGUUAUGUUAGAAAUGGUUUAUAACAUUAAAAUACAUGAAUAGUACUAUUCUUUGUUUGUCUAUCUAAAUGAAUCAAUGAUGACUCAAUUAGCUCCAGCCUACCCCCGCUUCCUGUGAAGGAGCAAAGGAAAGACAAACGGCAGCAACUCCACAGCCAGGCACAUACUGAGGAAUGCAGCUCAUGGGUAUGUCUGAAGAAGGUGAAGUGAGGAAGUGAGGAAGUAAAUAAAUAUAGAAAAAGGAAAUAAAGUAUCACAAAACUGGAGCAGAUAAAACAGGGAACUGACACGGGGUAUACUGUAAGACACAGGUGUUCAGGGCUGCAGAGGAUCCUAUCUUCAUGUUGAUCCUGCAGGAAGCCCAGCAGAAACCUGAGGAUGAGUGGAACUACCACCACUGUGACAUUUAUGCCACAUUGUGCUUUCCUUCUCAGCAGGAACUAUGUGUUAUUCCAGUUACUUUAAAACUGUCCUGUGCUCCUGUGCUGUUUACAUGGCAUGCACCAGUACUGCAAUAUACAGAAACUUCCACUCUCUUUUCAGUUUUCUUGGAUCAGGUUGAAACACUCAUCAUUGUCAUCGUCGUCAGCACUGUCAGACGUCAAGUGCCCUGGUUUGAAGUCAGCAGAUACUCCUCCUGUCUGGGCCAGCAGCACUGCCAGCAACGCCCUGGUGAUCCUAGCCUCCUGAGUGCCAGUCUUUGUGAGACUGCUAGCCAUGUUUGA